UACGGAGGGUGCAAGCGUUAUCCGGAUUUAUUGGGUUUAAAGGGUGCGCAGGCGGGAUAGUAAGUCAGUGGUGAAAGCCCACAGCUCAACUGUGGAAUUGCCGUUGAUACUGCUAUUCUUGAAUGUAGUUGAAGUGAAUGGAAUGUAACAUGUAGCGGUGAAAUGCAUAGAUAUGUUACAGAACACCGAUUGCGAAGGCAGUUCACUAAGCUACUAUUGACGCUCAGGCACGAAAGCGUGGGGAGCAAACAGG
Molecule: ribosomal RNA, 253 nt
Filed under: uncultured bacterium
Lineage: Bacteria
Description: partial 16S ribosomal RNA
Rfam family: Bacterial small subunit ribosomal RNA
Source: RNAcentral